GGAGGAAAAGAAAAAUAACAAUGAUUUCCCUAGUAACGGCGAGUGAAGAGGAAAGAGCUCAAAGUUGGAACCUGUUUGGCUUAGCUAAACCGGAUUGUAAACUGUAGAAACAUUUUCCAGAUACACUAGACAAAAAAGUCCUUUGGAACAGGGCAUCAUAGAGGGUGAGAAUCCCGUCUUUGGUCUAAGUAGUUGUCUAUUGUGAUAUGUUUUCAAAGAGUCAGGUUGUUUGGGAAUGCAGCCUAAAUUGGGUGGUAAAUCUCACCUAAAGCUAAAUAUUUGCGAGAGACCGAUAGCGAACAAGUACCGUGAGGGAAAGAUGAAAAGAACUUUGAAAAGAGAGUUAAACAGUAUGUGAAAUUGUUAAAAGGGAACCGUUUGGAGCCAGACUGGCUUGAUUGUAAUCAACCUAGAAUUCGUUUUGGGUGCACUUGCAGUCUAUGCCUGCCAACGACAGUUUGAUUUGGAGGAAAAAAUUAAUAGGAAUGUGGCCUCUCGAGGUGUUAUAGCCUAUUAUCAUACUCUGGAUUGGACUGAGGAACGCAGUGAAUGCCUUUAGGCAAGAUUGCUGRGCGCUUUCGCUAAUAAAUGUUAGAAUUUCUGCUUCGGGUGGUGCUAAUGUUUAAAGGAGGAACUCGUUUAGUAUAUUUUUAUUCGCUAGGUGU
RNAcentral lists this ribosomal RNA (665 nucleotides) under Mucor plumbeus. Its description in RNAcentral is "eukaryotic LSU rRNA". It matches the Rfam family "Eukaryotic large subunit ribosomal RNA", at positions 52 to 625 of the family's 3401-position model. Lineage: Eukaryota; Fungi; Mucoromycota; Mucoromycetes; Mucorales; Mucoraceae. The record is from RNAcentral.